GUGGAGCAUGUGGCUUAAUUUGACUCAACGCGGGGAAUCUUACUAGGUCCGGACCGAUUCUAUGAUCGUCGUACUGUGGGGUGCUACGUGAUUACUGGAUGAGUGGUGCAUGGCCGUUCUUAGUUCGUGGUGUCAGUUGUCUACUUAAUUGUCAUUGGUUCUCGUAUCUUACGGUACAGAACUGAUAACGAACGAGAUCGAGGCCCGUGGUUGUGUCGUUGGUUAUUAUUGUGUGCGGCAUUAACCACGGGGAUCGCGUAAUACUCCACGGUACGAUCGAAAGACUCGGCAAUAACAGGUCUGUGAUGCCCUCAGAUGUUCUAGGCUGCACACGUGCUACAUUGUGGUUUCGUUUGUAUGCGUAGAUAUCUAAGAUCCCCCGCACCGAGUCUAAAUUAAUCACUUGGUUGGACUCACCGUUUGUAAUUAUUCGGUAUACUAA
Molecule: ribosomal RNA, 442 nt
Filed under: Amphistegina lobifera
Lineage: Eukaryota; Foraminifera; Rotaliida; Amphisteginidae
Description: SSU rRNA
Rfam family: Eukaryotic small subunit ribosomal RNA
Source: RNAcentral